AUUGAACGCUGGCGGCAGGCCUAACACAUGCAAGUCGGACGGUAGCACAGAGGAGCUUGCUCCUCGGGUGACGAGUGGCGGACGGGUGAGUAAUGUCUGGGGAUCUGCCCGAUAGAGGGGGAUAACCACUGGAAACGGUGGCUAAUACCGCAUAACGUCGCACGACCAAAGAGGGGGACCUUCGGGCCUCUCACUACGGGAUAAAACCAGAGGGGAUUAGCUAGUAGGCGGGGUAAUGGCCCACCUAGGCGACGAUCCCUAGCUGGUCUGAGAGGAUGACCAGCCACACUGGAACUGAGACACGGUCCAGACUCCUACGGGAGGCAGCAGUGGGGAAUAUUGCACAAUGGGCGCAAGCCUGAUGCAGCCAUGCCGCGUGUAUGAAGAAGGCCUUCGGGUUGUAAAGUACUUUCAGCGGGGAGGAAGGCGGUGAGGUUAAUAACCUCACCGAUUGACGUUACCCGCAGAAGAAGCACCGGCUAACUCCGUGCCAGCAGCCGCCGCUG
This 506-nucleotide ribosomal RNA is filed under the name uncultured bacterium. RNAcentral's name for it is "partial 16S ribosomal RNA". It matches the Rfam family "Bacterial small subunit ribosomal RNA", at positions 29 to 523 of the family's 1533-position model. The record is from RNAcentral.